Molecule: ribosomal RNA, 253 nt
Filed under: uncultured prokaryote
Description: partial 16S ribosomal RNA
Rfam family: Bacterial small subunit ribosomal RNA
Source: RNAcentral
ACGUAGGGGGCUAGCGUUGUCCGGAUUUAUUGGGCGUAAAGAGCGUGUAGGCGGCCUGGUAGGUCUGCUGUGAAAACUCGAGGCUCAACCUCGAGAUGUCGGCGGAAACCAUCUGGCUAGAGUCCGGAAGAGGAGAGUGGAAUUCCUGGUGUAGCAGUGAAAUGCGUAGAUAUCAGGAGGAAUACCGAUGGCGAAGGCAGGUCUCUGGGCUGACACUGACGCUCAUGCACGAUAGCGUGGGGAGCAAACAGGA